GUUCUCGCUUCAGCAGCAGAUAGACUAACAUUGGAAUGAUACAGAGAAGAUUAGCAUGGCCCCUGCGCAAGGAUGACACACAAAUUUGUGAAGCGUUCCAUAAUUUU
RNAcentral lists this small nuclear RNA (107 nucleotides) under Mus caroli (Ryukyu mouse). Lineage: Eukaryota; Metazoa; Chordata; Mammalia; Rodentia; Muridae. The record is from RNAcentral.